RNAcentral lists this transfer RNA (68 nucleotides) under Mephitis mephitis (striped skunk). RNAcentral's name for it is "tRNA-Ser". The record is from RNAcentral. Lineage: Eukaryota; Metazoa; Chordata; Mammalia; Carnivora; Mephitidae.
UUGAGAAAGUCAUGGUGGCUAUGGUGUUGGCUUGAAACCAGUUUUAGGGGGUUCGACUCCCUCCUUUC